Astatotilapia calliptera (eastern happy) is the source of this 1614-nucleotide long non-coding RNA. Lineage: Eukaryota; Metazoa; Chordata; Actinopteri; Cichliformes; Cichlidae. The record is from Ensembl.
GGAGAUGCUUGCCAGGAGGCCAUCUCUUUGCUGAACCAUACAUCCGACACUUCCUUGAUUUUCAAGAAGAUGAGAGAGACCUUUCAGCAUCGUCAGAAGCUCAUCAAUGAUCCUGACAAAAGUCUUGAUAUCCUGUCUAUCUUCCCAAGAUUCUUGGAUACAAAAGGAUUGGUGAAUCAAGACUUCACUCUCCUGUUUGAUGAUGAGAUAUCUACCAGGCUGCUUCAGAAAUGGGAUCCAAUCUUUAGGUAUCAAAUCAUCAAAGAGGCCAAGCAGCUCACCUCAACAGUAGAGUUGCGUCAAUUGGUGCAGUCAGCAGAGAGUCCACCAGGAAGUGAUCUUGAUGAGGCAGCAACCUUUGACCAAGACAUGGCCUCCCUGUUGUUACUGUUACAUCUCCUUCCGCCACCCCCAGGAGGACCAAAGUAUCAAAAAAUCAGCGCCUCUGAUGCUGUUGAGAGACUUGUAGUCUUUCAUAAGUCUUGCUGCAGUUUGGAAGACCAUCUCCAGAAUCAGCAGAGUCAGCAGCCAUACCUCCUGGCUGUUGGGCGCCAGAAGAGGAAGGUCGACAGCUUCUAUGUUGCCAUAGACAAGUGUCUCAUCCCCUGCCAGGCCAGCCGCUCCCUUGGGGCAUUUGAUGAGCUUUUUAAAGCUCAUUUUGUGUUCAAUGUGUCUUAUGAUGCUGCACUUGUGAAUUUCUACACAUUUCUGCAGACGACAGUAUACAAUAUUGAUAUGGGGAAAAUGAAGGAGUCCCCAAGAGUUUGUGACCUGAGAGCCAAAAUCCUUAACCAGGAAAUUCUUCUCACAACCUAAGUAAAAAUCAUUAAAAUGCUGACAUGUUUUUUGUGUAAGAGAGCUUAUCCCAGCAGUCAGCAGCUGAUUUCACAUUUAAGAGGUGAACAUGAUUAUUAUCCUGGACCUAAGUUUAAGUUAUUUUGUUGGCAGCCAGGCUGCAGGCUUCAGUUCCAAACUUAUGCAGGCUUUAGGAAGCACCUCAGUUUUCACAGCAAUGUUGACCAAAAUGAUCGAACUUCAGCCAUUGCUUGUUUUUCUAAUGACACAGUUUCACCUUUGGAGGACCAGUUUAAUUCCUCAUAUCUUCCUCACAGUUCUCCCAGUGUUCUUCCAGAGUCUAGUUCUUCCAGUGUUCUAGUGAGCAUUGAUUCAGUACUUACAAGGGAUUCAUCCAAAGAAAUGUGUGCAUCCAUUGUGGCCAAACUGCAGGGUAGUGGCCUUUCUAACAGUUUAGUAUCCUCACUUGUAGGCGAUUUGGAGGAAUUAACAAGUGAGCUUCGCUCAGAAGCAAAGCAGGCCAUUCUUUCUGCGUUACCCACAAAGGACUCCAGCAUAUCUUUAAUAAAUGAAUGUUUUGAAAAUUUUGAAAACCCUUUCACCAAUCUGAACACAGAAUGGAAACGAAAUAAAUACUUCAAUCUAAAAUGGGGAGUUGUAGAACCUAGAGAAAUAACACUUAGAGUGAGGUAUGACAUCAGGUGAAAUCAGAAGUCUGGUACUUAUGAUCAAGUACCUGUGAAGGAUACUUUUAUAUAUGUACCUAUUUUGGAGUCUUUGAAGUUCAUGUUUAGAAAUCCAGAGAUUUGUGUUUUCCUG